This 497-nucleotide ribosomal RNA is filed under the name uncultured bacterium. RNAcentral describes it as "partial 16S ribosomal RNA". It matches the Rfam family "Bacterial small subunit ribosomal RNA", at positions 28 to 507 of the family's 1533-position model. The record is from RNAcentral.
GAUGAACGCUGGCGGCGUGCCUAAUACAUGCAAGUCGAGCGAACAGACUAGGAGCUUGCUCCUCUGACGAUAGCGGCGGACGUGCGAGCAAGACGUGGAUAACCUACUUAUAUGACUGGGAUCACGUCGGGAAACCGGAGCUCAUACCGGAAAACAUAUUGAACUGCAUUGUUCAAUAGUGAAAGACGGAAUUGUUGUCAUGCAUAGCUGGAUCCGCGUCGCAUUAGCUAGUUGGUAAGGUAACGGCUUACCAAGGCGACGAUGCGUAGCCGACCUGAGAGGGUGAUCGGCCACACUGGAACUGAGACACGGCCCAGACUCCUACGGGAGGCAGCAGUAGGGAAUCUUCCGCAAUGGGCGAAAGCUUGACGGAGCAACGCCGCGUGAGUGAUGAAGGUCUUCGGAUCGUAAAGCUCUGUUAUUAGGGAAGAACAAAUGUGUAAGUAACUAGGCACGUCUUGACGGUACCUAAUCAGAAAGCCGCGGCUAAAUUCGUG